Molecule: long non-coding RNA, 706 nt
Filed under: Helianthus annuus (common sunflower)
Lineage: Eukaryota; Viridiplantae; Streptophyta; Magnoliopsida; Asterales; Asteraceae
Description: sRNA HanXRQr2_Chr02g0062141
Source: RNAcentral
UUUUUGAGUCUUCGCGAUGCUUUGCAUCGAUCUCUUUGUUUGGAGGGUAUUUUGGUAAGCUUGAUGGAUCACAUGCAUACGGCUUCAUGCAAGAGCAGAUGAGGCGGUCCCUCGCUUAUACGGCUCCACAGACAGCAAGGUUUCAAUAAGUUCCACAUCACAUUUUGGAAGGUCUUUAAAAGUCUCCCAUAAACAACUUUCAUAAGCAUGUUGCGGUUUAAAUAAUGUCGCAUGAGGAAGCUUUGACUUUUUCCAGUAGUCGUCCGGUGGCGAGCCACAAAGCUUAAAGAUUUUGUGCAAUUGUUCAACCUGUCACAUUUCCUAUUAAUUCUGAUUCAAAAAUAUAAUGCAGCAGCAUAGUCUUUCUUGAGAGCCAAAGAUAUAGCGUUUUGAACUACGAAAUCUAAUAAAGCCGUUAACUAUUUUCAACAAAAAUUGUUUCAAACGAUCGAUUGUUACAUAUAUUACUCUAUCUAUUAUACGGUUUUCCCUAUAAACCAUACUAUAGAAGCUAUUUUGAAUAGGGGUGAGCAGAAGAAAACCAGAAAACCGAAAAACCAAACCCAAAAAAAAAACGAUUUAAUUUAACCGAACCGCACAAAAAGAGCGGGAAAAAAACAAACCGAAAUUUACGAUUCGGUUACGGUUUUAGAUUUUAUGAAAACUGAAAUAACUGUAGCGAACCGAAUAACCUAAACAUUCAUUU